RNAcentral lists this ribosomal RNA (1415 nucleotides) under bacterium NLAE-zl-P70. RNAcentral's name for it is "bacterial SSU rRNA". It matches the Rfam family "Bacterial small subunit ribosomal RNA". The record is from RNAcentral.
CANGCGCGNCUANCAUGCAAGUCGAACGGAAAGGCCCUGCUUUUGUGGGGUGCUCGAGUGGCGAACGGGUGAGUAACACGUGAGUAACCUGCCCUUGACUUUGGGAUAACUUCAGGAAACUGGGGCUAAUACCGGAUAGGAGCUCCUGCUGCAUGGUGGGGGUUGGAAAGUUUCGGCGGUUGGGGAUGGACUCGCGGCUUAUCAGCUUGUUGGUGGGGUAGUGGCUUACCAAGGCUUUGACGGGUAGCCGGCCUGAGAGGGUGACCGGCCACAUUGGGACUGAGAUACGGCCCAGACUCCUACGGGAGGCAGCAGUGGGGAAUAUUGCACAAUGGGCGGAAGCCUGAUGCAGCAACGCCGCGUGCGGGAUGACGGCCUUCGGGUUGUAAACCGCUUUCGCCUGUGACGAAGCGUGAGUGACGGUAAUGGGUAAAGAAGCACCGGCUAACUACGUGCCAGCAGCCGCGGUGAUACGUAGGGUGCGAGCGUUGUCCGGAUUUAUUGGCCGAAAAGGGCUCGUAGGUGGUUGAUCGCGUCGGAAGUGUAAUCUUGGGGCUUAACCCUGAGCGUGCUUUCGAUACGGGUUGACUUGAGGAAGGUAGGGGAGAAUGGAAUUCCUGGUGGAGCGGUGGAAUGCGCAGAUAUCAGGAGGAACACCAGUGGCGAAGGCGGUUCUCUGGGCCUUUCCUGACGCUGAGGAGCGAAAGCGUGGGGAGCGAACAGGCUUAGAUACCCUGGUAGUCCACGCUGUAAACGGUGGGUACUAGGUGUGGGGUCCAUUCCACGGGUUCCGUGCCGUAGCUAACGCUUUAAGUACCCCGCCUGGGGAGUACGGCCGCAAGGCUAAAACUCAAAGGAAUUGACGGGGCCCCGCACAAGCGGCGGAGCAUGCGGAUUAAUUCGAUGCAACGCGUAGAAACUUACCUGGGUUUGACAUGGAUCGGGAGUGCUCAAAAAUGGGUGUGCCUCUUUUGGGGUCGGUUCACAGGUGGUGCAUGGCUGUCGUCAGCUCGUGUCGUGAGAUGUUGGGUUAAGUCCCGCAACGAGCGCAACCCUUGUUCACUGUUGCCAGCACGUUAUGGUGGGGACUCAGUGGAGACCGCCGGGGUCAACUCGGAGGAAGGUGGGGAUGACGUCAAGUCAUCAUGCCCCUUAUGUCCAGGGCUUCACGCAUGCUACAAUGGCUGGUACAGAGAGUGGCGAGCCUGUGAGGGUGAGCGAAUCUCGGAAAGCCGGUCUCAGUUCGGAUUGGGGUCUGCAACUCGACCUCAUGAAGUCGGAGUCGCUAGUAAUCGCAGAUCAGCAACGCUGCGGUGAAUACGUUCCCGGGGCUUGUACACACCGCCCGUCAAGUCAUGAAAGUUGGUAACACCCGAAGCCGGUGGCCUAACCCGUUGUGGGGAGCCUCAAGUGAC